This 253-nucleotide ribosomal RNA is filed under the name uncultured bacterium. RNAcentral's name for it is "partial 16S ribosomal RNA". It matches the Rfam family "Bacterial small subunit ribosomal RNA", at positions 524 to 776 of the family's 1533-position model. The record is from RNAcentral.
UACGUAGGUGGCGAGCGUUGUCCGGAUUUACUGGGCGUAAAGAGCGCGCAGGCGGUCGCGUAAGUCGAAUGUGAAAGCCCCCGGCUCAACUGGGGAGGGUCAUUCGAUACUGCACGACUCGAAGGCAGGAGAGGGAAGCGGAAUUCCCGGUGUAGUGGUGAAAUGCGUAGAUAUCGGGAGGAACACCAGUGGCGAAGGCGGCUUUCUGGCCUGUUCUUGACGCUGAGGCGCGAAAGCUAGGGGAGCAAACGGG